CCUACGGGCGGCAGCAGUGAGGAAUAUUGGUCAAUGGGAGAGAUCCUGAACCAGCCAAGCCGCGUGAGGGAAGACGGCCCUAUGGGUUGUAAACCUCUUUUGUCAGGGAACAAAGUCGGGGACGUGUCCCCUUCUGAGUGUACCUUAAGAAAAAGCAUCGGCUAACUCCGUGCCAGCAGCCGCGGUAAUACGGAGGAUGCGAGCGUUAUCCGGAUUUAUUGGGUUUAAAGGGUGCGCGGGCGGGCUUUUAAGUCAGCGGUCAAAGCCCGGGGCUCAACCCCGGCCCGCCGUUGAAACUGGCAGUCUCGAGUUGGAGAGAAGUAUGCGGAAUGCGCGGUGUAGCGGUGAAAUGCAUAGAUAUCGCGCAGAACUCCGAUUGUGAAGGCAGCAUGCCGGAUCCACACUGACGCUGAGGCACGAAAGCGUGGGUAUCGAACAGGAUUAGAUACCCCGGUAGUC
This 459-nucleotide ribosomal RNA is filed under the name uncultured bacterium. RNAcentral's name for it is "partial 16S ribosomal RNA". It matches the Rfam family "Bacterial small subunit ribosomal RNA", at positions 338 to 795 of the family's 1533-position model. The record is from RNAcentral.